UGCCAGCCGCCGCGGUAAUACGAAGGGACCAAGCGUUGUUCGGAAUCAUUGGGCUUAAAGCGCACGCAGGCGGACUGGUAAGUGUCUUGUGAAAUCCCCCGGCUCAACCGGGGAACGGCAGGGCAUACUGCCAGUCUUGAGGCAAGUAGGGGCACGUGGAACUCUUGGUGGAGCGGUGAAAUGCGUAGAGAUCAAGAGGAACGCCAGUGGUGAAAACGACGUGCUGGGCUUGUCCUGACGCUGAGGUGCGAAAGCGUGGGUAGCGAACGGGAUUAGAUA
This 279-nucleotide ribosomal RNA is filed under the name uncultured bacterium. Its description in RNAcentral is "partial 16S ribosomal RNA". It matches the Rfam family "Bacterial small subunit ribosomal RNA", at positions 506 to 784 of the family's 1533-position model. The record is from RNAcentral.